Molecule: transfer RNA, 67 nt
Filed under: Marmota monax (woodchuck)
Lineage: Eukaryota; Metazoa; Chordata; Mammalia; Rodentia; Sciuridae
Description: tRNA.Ala
Rfam family: tRNA
About the family: Transfer RNA (tRNA) molecules are approximately 80 nucleotides in length. Their secondary structure includes four short double-helical elements and three loops (D, anti-codon, and T loops). Further hydrogen bonds mediate the characteristic L-shaped molecular structure. tRNAs have two regions of fundamental functional importance: the anti-codon, which is responsible for specific mRNA codon recognition, and the 3' end, to which the tRNAs corresponding amino acid is attached (by aminoacyl-tRNA synthetases). tRNAs cope with the degeneracy of the genetic code in two manners: having more than one tRNA (with a specific anti-codon) for a particular amino acid; and 'wobble' base-pairing, i.e. permitting non-standard base-pairing at the 3rd anti-codon position.
Source: RNAcentral
GGUUGUGGCUCAGCGGUAGAGCGCUUGCCUCGCAUGUGUGAGGCCCUGGGUUCAAUCCUUAGCACCA